Myotis lucifugus (little brown bat) is the source of this 1569-nucleotide long non-coding RNA. RefSeq lists it as uncharacterized. The transcript has 3 exons. The record is from RefSeq and is a predicted model, not a curated record. NCBI's taxonomy places the organism in Eukaryota, Metazoa, Chordata, Mammalia, Chiroptera, Vespertilionidae.
UAGAAGCAUUCUCCUUUUCACUUGUAUUGAUAAACAGUAUGUUGGCCUAAAAAAAUAUUUCACUGUGGUUUGACCAGAGAUAUAUAUUAUGAAGUCUGACAUUUUAACACAUUUCAAAUAGGAUUAAGGUCAUUUAUAGAUUAUGUUUUUUGCAGUUAACUGUUCAUUGUUUAUCAGCUUUAUACCAAGUAAUCUUUGUGUUAGCAUUAUUUUUUCAUCUGAAUUUCUUGAGAACUCCUAUUAUAUUCUAAAAUCAAUUAUUUCCUGAGUGCUCAUUGUGUAUAAGUAAUUAUGCUAGGUACCAAUAUUCUUAAUUAAGGACAUUUGUUUUUAAGUUUAGUGACUUCAAAAAAAAUAUUUUAAUAGGCAGCUCCAUUUUAUUUUAUUAGCCUUUAUUAGAUGUGGCGGUUUCUUUGUGUAAAUCUGUGAGUGGAUUUAAGAACAAGGAAUCAUUAGUUUAAAAUUCCCAAAUGUGAUAAUUCAGUUUAGAGAAGAUGAUAACCUACAAAACAAAUAAAUAAAAAGAGAAGAAAAAAGGGGAAGAUGUCGGGCAGAUUUUCUGCAAGUGGACGCUGUAAUAAAAAUGCCCCCUACUUUGUCGGGAUGGUAUUUGGAGGGCUGCUGCCAUAUGUUACUUUCCUUUUUAGCUGGGAUUAUGCCAUCAUUAUUGCUGAUAAAAGCUGUUUACUGCCUUGGCAAAGGAAUGAUGCUUGGAGCAGUUAUGGAAACCGCCAUUCAGUUUACAAAAAAGUUCAUUUAGUGCCAGAUGCUAGAAUCCUAGGUCUUUGUUAUCUUUUGCCAUUAUUAGAUCCAUCCAUUGUGUGUUUUUUUCCCCCUUUUAUAAUAGAAUGUUGUUUCUUACUACCUGUUUUAAUUCAAGCUGUUGAAGUGAGAGGUUUUCUAGAUUAUUACAUUCCCCAUGUUAUAAGUGAUCAGUGCUAAAGAUGGGCAAUUUGGCUUUCAGAAUCAUUGACUAUAUUUGGAAUAAGCACUGCAGUGUGCAAUGAGAUUCCAGUUUCUACACAUCAAGGAGAGUACUGUCGAGUCAGUGUGUGUAUGGCAUGUGACUUAUUGGCCCACGUAGAGGUCACACCCUUGACUUUGGUCUUGUUGGUAUUGUGCUUCACCAUCUUUUUCCACACCUCAGAAUAUAAAUUAUGCUCCUGACUUGAAUUUAGAACUUAUAACUAUCACCAAGAUGAAAAGGUCCAAAAUAGUGUAAAAAUCACAUUUUUGGUACAGUCAUUUUACACGAAUAAGGUCAGCCAUCUGCUAGAAAACUACACUUAUUUAGAAUACACUGAAAGUACUCAGCACUGAAUGCCACAAAGAAGCCCUGAAAAUGCAAACUUUCUGUGUGGCUUUGGAUGGGAAAAGAAAGGAAAAAUCAUCUUCAAAUGUAUCCAAGAAUAAAGUUUAAUAAAAAAUUUCAGUGUCAUAUUGAAGUUGAAAAUUUAUAAUCACCUGGGUAAAAAGUAUCCCCAUUAAAAGUUGAGAUCAUUUGCCCCAACUGGGUGGUUCAGUUGGUUGGAGCAUCGUCCCAUACACCAAAAUAGUUGUGGAUUUGAU